Molecule: ribosomal RNA, 1487 nt
Filed under: uncultured bacterium
Lineage: Bacteria
Description: bacterial SSU rRNA
Rfam family: Bacterial small subunit ribosomal RNA
Source: RNAcentral
UAGAGUUUGAUCCUGGCUCAGAACGAACGCUGGCGGCAGGCUUAACACAUGCAAGUCGAACGCUCGUGAGCGAUCACGGGAGUGGCAGACGGGUGAGUAACGCGUGGGAACAUACCCUUUGGUUCGGGAUAACUCAGGGAAACUUGAGCUAAUACCGGAUACGCCCCUGGAUGAAAGUUUGGGGGGAAAGAUUGAUUGCCGGAGGAUUGGCCCGCGUUCGAUUAGCUAGUUGGUGAGGUAACGGCUCACCAAGGCGACGAUCGAUAGCUGGUCUGAGAGGAUGAUCAGCCACAUUGGGACUGAGACACGGCCCAAACUCCUACGGGAGGCAGCAGUGGGGAAUAUUGGACAAUGGGCGCAAGCCUGAUCCAGCCAUGCCGCGUGAGUGAUGACGGCCUUAGGGUUGUAAAGCUCUUUCGCUCGGGACGAUAAUGACGGUACCGAGAUAAGAAGCCCCGGCUAACUUCGUGCCAGCAGCCGCGGUAAUACGAAGGGGGCUAGCGUUGUUCGGAAUUACUGGGCGUAAAGCGCGUGUAGGCGGGUCCUUAAGUCAGGGGUGAAAUGCCAAGGCUCAACCUUGGAACUGCCUUUGAUACUGGGGACCUUGAGUCCGGGAGAGGUGAGUGGAACUGCGAGUGUAGAGGUGAAAUUCGUAGAUAUUCGCAAGAACACCAGUGGCGAAGGCGGCUCACUGGCCCGGAACUGACGCUGAGACGCGAAAGCGUGGGGAGCAAACAGGAUUAGAUACCCUGGUAGUCCACGCUGUAAACGAUGGAUGCUAGCCGUUGGGGAGCUUGCUCUUCAGUGGCGCAGCUAACGCUUUAAGCAUCCCCCCUGGGGAGUACGGUCGCAAGAUUAAAACUCAAAGGAAUUGACGGGGGCCCGCACAAGCGGUGGAGCAUGUGGUUUAAUUCGAAGCAACGCGCAGAACCUUACCAGCUUUUGACAUGUCCUGGACGGAUUGCAGAGAUGCGAUCUUCCCUUCGGGGCCGGGAACACAGGUGCUGCAUGGCUGUCGUCAGCUCGUGUCGUGAGAUGUUGGGUUAAGUCCCGCAACGAGCGCAACCCUCGCCCUUAGUUGCCAUCAUUCAGUUGGGCACUCCAGGGGGACUGCCGGUGAUAAGCCGGAGGAAGGUGGGGAUGACGUCAAGUCCUCAUGGCCCUUACAGGCUGGGCUACACACGUGCUACAAUGGCGGUGACAGCGGGAGGCGAAGGGGCGACCCUUAGCAAAUCUCGAAAAGCCGUCUCAGUUCGGAUUGCACUCUGCAACUCGAGUGCAUGAAGUUGGAAUCGCUAGUAAUCGCGGAUCAGCACGCCGCGGUGAAUACGUUCCCGGGCCUUGUACACACCGCCCGUCACACCAUGGGAGUUGGUUUUACCCGAAGACGGCGUGCUAACCCGCGAGGGAGGCAGCCGGCCACGGUAGGGUCAGCGACUGGGGUGAAGUCGUAACAAGGUAGCCGUAGGGGAACCUGCGGCUGGAUC